This 492-nucleotide ribosomal RNA is filed under the name uncultured bacterium. Its description in RNAcentral is "partial 16S ribosomal RNA". It matches the Rfam family "Bacterial small subunit ribosomal RNA", at positions 29 to 507 of the family's 1533-position model. The record is from RNAcentral.
AGUGAACGCUGGCGAUAGGCCUAACACAUGCAAGUCGAACGGCAGCACAGUAAGAGCUUGCUCUUACGGGUGGCGAGUGGCGGACGGGUGAGGAAUACAUCGGAAUCUACUUUUUCGUGGGGGAUAACGUAGGGAAACUUACGCUAAUACCGCAUACGACCUACGGGUGAAAGCAGGGGAUCUUCGGCCCUUGCGCGAUUGAAUGAGCCGAUGUCGGAUUAGCUAGUUGGCGGGGUAAAGGCCCACCAAGGCGACGAUCCGUAGCUGGUCUGAGAGGAUGAUCAGCCACACUGGAACUGAGACACGGUCCAGACUCCUACGGGAGGCAGCAGGGGGGAAUAUUGGACAAUGGGCGCAAGCCUGAUCCAGCCAGACCGCGUGGGUGAAGAAGGCCUUCGGGUUGGAAAGCCCUUUUGUUGGGAAAGAAAAGCAGCAGGUUAAUACCCCGCUGUUCUGACGGUACCCAAAGAAUAAGCACCGGCUAACUUCGUG